RNAcentral lists this ribosomal RNA (448 nucleotides) under uncultured bacterium. RNAcentral describes it as "partial 16S ribosomal RNA". It matches the Rfam family "Bacterial small subunit ribosomal RNA", at positions 328 to 792 of the family's 1533-position model. The record is from RNAcentral.
UCACCAGACUCCUACGGGAGGCAGCAGUGGGGGAUAUUGCACAAUGGGGGAAACCCUGAUGCAGCGACGCCGCGUGUGGGAAGACGGUCCUCUGGAUUGUAAACCACUGUCCCCAGGGACGAAGAUGACGGUACCUGACCAAGAAGCUCCGGCUAAAUACGUGCCAGCAGCCGCGGUAAUACGUAUGGAGCAAGCGUUAUCCGGAUUUACUGGGUGUAAAGGGAGCGCAGGCGGCCUUGCAAGUCUGAUGUGAAAGGCCGGGGCCCAACCCCGGGAGUGCAUUGGAAACUGCGAGGCUGGAGUGUCGGAGAGGCAGGCGGAAUUCCUAGUGUAGCGGUGAAAUGCGUAGAUAUUAGGAGGAACACCAGUGGCGAAGGCGUCUUACUGGACCGAAACUGACGUUGAGGCUCGAAAGCGUGGGGAGCAAACAGGAUUAGAUACCCGGGUA